RNAcentral lists this ribosomal RNA (165 nucleotides) under Triticum aestivum (bread wheat). RNAcentral's name for it is "partial small subunit ribosomal RNA". Lineage: Eukaryota; Viridiplantae; Streptophyta; Magnoliopsida; Poales; Poaceae. The record is from RNAcentral.
AUGGUGGGAAUCGAGACGGCCGCCGCGCUCCCGGACGACGUCGUCCUGGAGGUCCUUGUGCGCGUGGCCGACGUCGCCACGCUGUUUCGCUGCGCCACGGUAUGCAAGCUGUGGCGUAGGCUCAUCGCCGACUGCUCCUUCCUCCGCCGCCGCCCCGAGGAUUAA